UAAGGAAUAUUGCUCAAUGGGAGAAAUCCUGAAGCAGCAACGCCGCGUGGAGGAUGAAGGGUCUAUGACUUGUAAACUCCUGUAAAGAAGGAAAAAAUUCCCAUUAGAUGGGAGAUGAUGGUACUUCUGGAGUAAGCCCCGGCUAACUACGUGCCAGCAGCCGCGGUAAUACGUAGGGGGCAAGCGUUGUCCGGAUUUACUGGGUGUAAAGGGUGCUCAGGCGGAUUUGUAAGUCAGAGGUGAAAUCUUACAGCUUAACUGUGAAACUGCCUUUGAUACUGAAAGCCUAGAGUAUGGAAGAGNGUGAUGGAAUAUCUGGUGUAGCAGUGAAAUGCGUAGAUAUCAGAUAGAACACCAAUGGCGAAGGCAGUCACUUGGUCCAUUACUGACGCUAAAGCACGAAAGCGUGGGUAGCAAACA
RNAcentral lists this ribosomal RNA (420 nucleotides) under uncultured bacterium. RNAcentral's name for it is "bacterial SSU rRNA". It matches the Rfam family "Bacterial small subunit ribosomal RNA", at positions 355 to 774 of the family's 1533-position model. The record is from RNAcentral.